GACAGAGGUGGCGAGCGUUGUCCGGAAUUACUGGGCGUAAAGCGCGCGUAGGCGGCUAGAUAAGUCCGGUGUGAAAUCCCACGGCUUAACCGGGGAACGGCAUCGGGGACUGUUUAGCUUGAGGACGGGAGAGGAGAGCGGAAUUCCCGGUGUAGCGGUGAAAUGCGUAGAGAUGUGGAGGAACACCGAUGGCGAAGGCAGCCUCCUGGGCCAGCACUGACGCUCAUGCACGAAAGCGUGGGGAGCAAACGGG
Molecule: ribosomal RNA, 253 nt
Filed under: uncultured bacterium
Lineage: Bacteria
Description: partial 16S ribosomal RNA
Rfam family: Bacterial small subunit ribosomal RNA
Source: RNAcentral